Long non-coding RNA from Ciona intestinalis (vase tunicate), 2725 nucleotides. RefSeq lists it as uncharacterized. Lineage: Eukaryota; Metazoa; Chordata; Ascidiacea; Phlebobranchia; Cionidae. The record is from RefSeq and is a predicted model, not a curated record.
UAAACUUACUUGUUUACGCAAUACCGGGUGGAAUCAUCGUACUUCUCGCUAUUCUUCUGGUUCUGGGGUUAUUAUGUCACCGACGAAGAGUUUCGCCAAAGAACGCCAAGUCAAAUAACACUGAAUAUGCUGACGUGGCAGCACCGCCCGAAUACGCAGUAAUAAAAGACGCACACAGGGUUGUGGCGUAUGAAAAUGUCCACAUUAACCCACAAGUCGUUUUGUACGAAGAUAUGCGGUAAUUUUUAAAGCCAAAAAAAUGGAACUCUGAAUCGCAUGCACUCGUUACCGUACAAAGUUUUAUACAUAUGUGGGCUGGGGGAAGAUGGGACAUCUUUUUAUUCUUUUUUCGUCCCAUUUCAUGGUAAACAAAAAACAUUCAAAGAAUUAUAAACAUUGUAUUCUCACCACUCCCAUGGACCACUGUUAAUUGUUUAAAACACGAUCAGGAUAUUUGGAAAUUAUGUAAUAAAGGUGUUCCGUCUCCCCCACCCUGAUAUAGCUUACACACGCUGCGUACAAAAACAAUGUUGUCGUGUGCAUGUCUUCCUACUUAUUCGGCCGAACCGAAGUACUUGGUAAUCCUUGUCCGGUGUAUCUUGCCGCAGGAUGAAAUACAUGGCCGUCUACCAACACUUGUUUCCAGCGGCCAUUCGAUCGUUAGUUUCCCCUCUACAUGUUACUGUGAACAACUGUUUUGUGAUCCACAAUUUUCUAAUGUUUUACAGUGUUAAGUGUAUUAUAUUGAGUUUCAUUGUUUAAACUUGUGUGUAGUUUUAAUUAUUUAGUUUUAACUGUACCAGUGAAGGUCUGAGAGCAGGAGCCAUAUACGUUAUUUCUGUGGCAUGUUUCUGUAAUUCAGUGUGUAAAUUCCAGUUACAACUGCAUGCAGUAUUGAGCUAUAAAAAAGUUAGUAGGAUUAUUGGUCAAAGCUGAUUUUUUGAUGCAUUGUGCUGUGUAUUUUUCUCACUUCUUUUAGUGCAACCAACUUGUAGUUCUGUGGGGUAAGAUGGGAUACCGUCAGCAACUAAAUCCCAUAUUCACUGAUCGCGUUUUAAACAACCAACCAAGCUAUUUUAUGGUUGUUAAGAUACAGUUAUAUAAUUUUGAAAAUAUUUUUGUUUAAUACCAUAUUGGACAAGAAAAGAGAAUAAAAAUAUAUCCCAUCUUACCCCACCAUAUACAUACACUGCAAUUUUGCGCUUACGUUAUUUGGUUAUAUAAGUUAAAUGUGCUUUAUGCAGAAUAAAUUUUGUGUGUCUGAAUGUAUUUAAACUCACUAGUAAUACAUAGUUUUUUGAUACUUCGCACACAUAGUUGGAAGUAUAUGAAUAUAGCACUGUGGGGGAAGAUAUGGCACCUAUAGCACACUAUAUUAAAACAUCCUGGUGUCCCAUCUCCCCCCAACCUACUAUAACCUACGUAUACUUGCUAUACAACUUGGUGAAGUACUGAAAAGCUGCUCUUUGUUUAAUACCAAAUUGGACGUAAAAAGCAGAAAAGUAAGGUGUCCCAUCUUCUUCCACCCUUGCUAUAAAUAUGCCAUUGCAACGAGGUGUACUGAGCAUAACCUUUGUCGGCCCCCGUUUUAACGUCUUGUAAAGAUCGCCUUCAUUUAAACGUCUUGGUCGGCAAAUAAGUAAAACUUCAGAGAUACUCUGUUAGAUAAGUUGGACUCAAUAAAUAUCUUACGUCUCGGUCGCGAACUUCUCAAACCUUCAGACGUCGAAAGGUGAAUGCAAACAACAGCAGGUAUGGCAAUCAAAGCAAACGAGACAUGUUGUCCCAAAUGCUUGUACAAUACCCGGGAUUGUAUUAAAAAAAUGUCAUGAGCACUGUGUGUCUUAUAUAUAAGAUUUUUCAAAGGCCACAACAUGCGGAAAAGACCUUAGUUUUUACCUAGAGUGCACGUUUCCGGGAAGUACUUGUUAUAAAGGCAAGAGUUAUGUACAGUAUUAUUCGUGAUGAUUAACCGACAAAAUCAAUAUGUAUACUGCCUGGUGACGUAACAGUGCAUUGUGUGACGUUGUUUCGAAAAUUAAUUGUUGUUUGAAAUUGAAAACUUGGCGGUAAAGUUUUUGCCACAAUGUGUGUUGUUAUACCUAUUUUGGUAACUAACUUCUAUUAGAAUGGUUGUGAUGUUUCUGCAGCCGAAAGCUUAUUGACCUACAGGAAGCCCCGCACGUACCAGUGUUUGCUAGAUGACAAUAUGUCUCGAUAGAAAAUAACAUUUCGUUUGCCUGUUCAGCUUGUUCUAUUAAAAAAUUAUGUUGGGCCAUUCGGGUUACCGGUUUUCUGCAUGACUUAUUAGCUUUGCAGCACGCCUUUUUUAUUCAUUAAAGAUACCUUACCGACAGAACACACAAACGUGUAACGUUAAAAUCACUGUUUCUGUAUUUAUUUGAUGUUCAUUUGUGUAUUUCUUUUUUUUUUCGUUGUGUGACUUUUUAAGUCUAUUUUCAUUUUUUUCAAUCACUUCGUUUUCCUUUAAUUCUUUCUCGGGGCAAUUAUUGAAUCGGCGUAUUUUGCAUCCCGCCAGCGACUGCAGGCAUGCUGAGACGUAUAGCUGUUUGGAAAAGCGAGAUCUCUCUCUCACUUUAUACUGUUUACAGCUAUUUGAUUUUCUGCUUUUUUAACAUAGACUGUUCAGUAGCCUAUUCUGUGUUUUUAUAGUGCACGACUUUAUGUGCGUUCACUAAUUAUAGAUAUUAUUGUAUUUUAGUAA